Molecule: non-coding RNA, 139 nt
Organism: Bacillus sp. LL01
Lineage: Bacteria; Bacillati; Bacillota; Bacilli; Caryophanales; Bacillaceae
Source: Rfam
GAGGACAAGAAGAAGCACCCGCUUCUCACCUGAUUGACGCAGAUCAUGCAGUUGGCAGGUUUUACGAGAAAGAUUCUAUCUUUUACUUAUGUAAUCGUAAAGUGUGGGUGUACAUGUACAUCCACACUUUUUUGUUUGU